Molecule: long non-coding RNA, 366 nt
Filed under: Mytilus galloprovincialis (Mediterranean mussel)
Lineage: Eukaryota; Metazoa; Mollusca; Bivalvia; Mytilida; Mytilidae
Source: RNAcentral
UAUACUAAAGUUAUGGUGCGAAAACCAAUAAUAAUGCUUACUUGGGCCCCUUUUUGGCCCCUAAUUCCUAAACUGUUCAGACCUCAACUCCCAAAAUCAAUCCUAACCUUCCUUUUGUGGUCAUAAACCUUGUGUCAAAAUUUCAUAGAUUUUUAUUUACUUAAACUAAAGUUAUAGUGCGAAAACCAAGAACAUGCUUAUUUUGGCCCUUUUUGGCCCCUUAUUCCUAAAAUGUUGGGACCAAAACUCCCAAAAUCAAUCCCAACCUUCCUUUUGUGGUCAUAAACCUUGUGUUCCAAUUUCAUAGAUUUCUAUUCACUUUUACUAAGGUUAGAGUGCGAAAACUAAAAGUAUUCGGACGACGAC